This 253-nucleotide ribosomal RNA is filed under the name uncultured bacterium. RNAcentral's name for it is "partial 16S ribosomal RNA". It matches the Rfam family "Bacterial small subunit ribosomal RNA", at positions 524 to 776 of the family's 1533-position model. The record is from RNAcentral.
GACAGAGGUCUCGAGCGUUAGGCGGAAUCACUGGGCUUAAAGCGUGUGUAGGCGGAUGUCUAAGUACCUUGUGAAAUCCCACAGCUUAACUGUGGAAUUGCUUGGUAUACUGGAUGUCUUGAGCCAGCUAGGGGCAACCGGAACAAGUGGUGGAGCGGUGAAAUGCGUAGAUAUCAUUUGGAACGCCAAUGGUGAAAACAGGUUGCUGGGGCUGUGCUGACGCUGAGACACGAAAGCCAGGGGAGCGAACGGG